Molecule: long non-coding RNA, 819 nt
Organism: Strigops habroptila (Kakapo)
Lineage: Eukaryota; Metazoa; Chordata; Aves; Psittaciformes; Psittacidae
Exons: 3
Source: RefSeq, a predicted model, not a curated record
GGGUGGGUUGGACAUGUCACACCAUGAAAUCCCUAUGUUCUGAGUCAUCUUUGCCCAGCUUACUCAUGCUUUAUGAGUAGCUUUUUAUUUGCGUAACUUCAGAUACCAGUAUUAUUAGUGUGUAAAGUCCAGAAGCCACCAUCCUUUUUGUGAGCACUACACGCUCCAGCCUCACCCGAAGUUCAGCACACACGCUGCAGUAGCCUUUACUGAAACCCUGGAAGCUUUUGAAGCCUGAGCACCCCAUAACCAGGUCUAAGGUUCUCAGGGUGCUUGGUGCUGCCAUGCCAGGACAAGUGGCAUGGGCACCACCCUGCAGUGGUUCAACAGCUGCCUGUAGCUACCAAUGGGCUGGGCUGGCUCUGAAGGGCAGUGCUGGUGCUGGCGGGUCAGGGUUGCUGUGGGAGACUUGACAGGGGCGGGGGAGGCUCCUGUGGGUCCAUCAGCUCCAGGGUGACUCUUCAGCGCUGUGCUUGCUGCCCGCAGCGUGCAGGUGCUGUCCUGCCCGCUCCUCAUCCUGAACGCAGAAGAUGAUGCCAUCAUGCCUCCGCACCUGGGACGCAAGCUCUUUGAGACAGCACACAGUGCCUACAAGGACAAAACCAAGGUGAAGUUGAUUACCUUUCCCAAAAAGCUGGGCCUGGGCCAUGACCACAUCUCGUUCAACCUGGAGCUGCCUGCCUUGGUGAAAGACUUCUUGAACAUUAAGUGAUGGCAGCUGCUGCAUGCAGCAACCACAAGCACUUCCUCAAGCCCACACCAGGAACCUGUUAUGGCACUGAACUUACUGUUGUAAGUAAUAAAAACUACUGAAAAAUG